ACCUGUGGGUCCCCAGAUGUUGUUGGACUACAACUCCCAUCAUCCCUGAGCUCUGGCCUUGCUUGCUGGGAUGAUGGGAUUUGUAGUUCAACAACAUCUGGGGACCC
Molecule: microRNA precursor, 107 nt
Filed under: Podarcis lilfordi (Lilford's wall lizard)
Lineage: Eukaryota; Metazoa; Chordata; Lepidosauria; Squamata; Lacertidae
Source: RNAcentral